RNAcentral lists this ribosomal RNA (1407 nucleotides) under metagenome. Its description in RNAcentral is "bacterial SSU rRNA". It matches the Rfam family "Archaeal small subunit ribosomal RNA". The record is from RNAcentral.
GGAUUCGACUAAGCCAUGCAAGUCCAGGGGACCCUUGUGGUCACCGGCGGAAUGCUCAGUAACACGUCGAUAAUCUGCCCUCAAGUACGGGAUAACCUUGGAAAACUGAGGCUAAUACCAUAUAUGUCAAAUUUUCUGGAAGGAUUUUUGAUUCAAAGAUUCGUCGCUUGAGGAUGAGUCGGCGGCCGAUUAGGUUGUUGGUGGGGUAAAGGCCCACCAAGCUUAUGAUCGGUACGGGCCUUGAGAGAGGUAGCCCGGAGAAGGGCACUGAGACACUUGCCCUAGCCCUAAGGGGUGCAGCAGGCGCGAAACCUUUACAAUGCACGAAAGUGUGAUAGGGGAAUCCCAAGUGCUCAUACUUUGUAUGGGCUUUUGCCAAGGUUAAAACCCUUGGCGAAUAAGUAGUGGGAAAGACUGGUGCCAGCAGCCGCGGUAACACCAGCGCUACAAGUGGCAAUCAUGUUUAUUGGGCCUAAAGCGUCCGUAGCCGGCUCGGUAAAUCUUUUGUGAAAUUAUUCGGCUUAACCGAAUAGCGUGCAGAAGAGACUGCCGAGCUUGGGACCGGGAGGAGUCAGAGGUAUUCCGGGGGGAGCGGUAAAAUGCUAUAAUCCUCGGAGGACCACCUGUGGCGAAGGCGUCUGACUAGAACGGCUCCGACGGUGAGGGACGAAAGCCAGGGGAGCAAACCGGAUUAGAUACCCGAGUAGUCCUGGCCGUAAACUCUGCGAGCUAGGUGUUGCAUAUUCUAACAGGAUUAUGCAAUGUCGAAGCGAAGGUGAUAAGCUCGCCGCCUGGGAAGUAUAGUCGCAAGACCGAAACUUAAAGGAAUUGGCGGGGGAGCACUACAAGGGGUGCGGCGUGCGGUUCAAUCGAACUCAACAUCGAGAAUCUCACCAGCAGCGACGGCAGGAUGAAGGUCAGAUUGAAGGUUUUACCUGACAAGCCGAGAGGUGGUGCAUGGCCGUCGUCAGCUCGUGCCGUGAGGUGUCCAGUUAAGUCUGGCAACGAGCGAGACCUAUACCUACAUUUGCCAUCAAGUGGUUUUCCAUGAUUGGGGACAAUGUAGGGACUGCCUUGGAAACAAGGAGGAAGGUAUAGUCUACGGUAGGUCUGUAUGCCCCGAAUCUGCUGGGCUACACGCGCGCAACAAUGGUCGGGACAAUGGGAUGCGACUCCGAAAGGAGGAGCCAAACCUCGAAACCCGAUCCUAGUUCAGAUUGUGGGCUGUAACUCGCCCACAUGACGCUGGAAUCCCUAGUAAUCGGAAGUCAACAACUUCCGGUGAAUAUGUCCCUGCUCCUUGCACACACCGCCCGUCAAACCACCCGAGUAGGGUUUAGGUGAGUUCAUGUUUUUUGACAUGACCGAACCUAAGUCAAGCGAGGUGGGUUAAGUCGUCACAAGGUA